Saccostrea cuccullata (small rock oyster) is the source of this 1811-nucleotide RNA transcript. It is a transcript of the gene named receptor-type tyrosine-protein phosphatase F-like, with no coding region annotated. The transcript has 9 exons. NCBI's taxonomy places the organism in Eukaryota, Metazoa, Mollusca, Bivalvia, Ostreida, Ostreidae. The record is from RefSeq and is a predicted model, not a curated record.
CUUUACUUUCAUAUAUAUAUAUUUUUACAGAAUUUCCAGUAGGAUAUCCCAAAAUCAUUGUAAAUCCAGAGCUAAAAUCUGUUGAGAAAGAGAAACCUGCCAUUAUGCAGUGUCAAGCGGAUGCUAAUGGACACAAGUUUGAUAUUGAGUGGUUCAAAAAUGGCGUCCCUGUAGACCUGGGUGACAACAAACGGCUCACAAUCACAGAAACAGGUUCUUUACGGAUAGCCAAAGCCCUAGAGUCAGAUUAUGGAAAAUAUGAAUGCGUAGCUACCAAUGAGUAUGGAGUGACUUACUCUUAUGCUGCGAUGUUAUACAUCAGAGUACGUGGAGUCCCCCCUAUUUUUACCCUCCCCCCAAAGAGAGUGGAGGUGGACCCCAAUGGCAGCGUCAAUCUGACCUGCGUGGCGGUCGGGUCCCCCAUGCCACACGUUAUGUGGCGGGAUGGUGCCACGGAACUCGGAAAGCCUGUCAUAGGAAAGAAUGUCCUCCAACUUAAGAACGUCACCGAGAGCAAGAACUACACAUGCGUGGCGUCAUCUUACUUAGGAAACAUCGAACACAUCGGGGAGGUCAUCAUUAAAGUCGAACCCCGUAACAUUUUUGCGGAAGUUACAGGACCUAACACUAUAGAUGUAUCCUGGGACCCACCGAGUCAGACCAAAAACGUGGUUACUAAAUACUUUGUGUACUACAACGAUACCUACCUGAAGCAGGAGAGCCAUUUGGUAGUCCAGGGCACGGAGACCAAGUGUCAACUCGAGGAACUGACCCCCGACACUGUGUAUACCAUCAAAGUCUCCGCAAUCUCCAAUAAAGGUGAAGGUGCCGCCACGCGGAUAAUCCAGGCCAAGACGCUGCCAUUUGUGCCUGACGAGCCUACAAAUGUGACGGCCGAAGCCAUUAACUCGACGGCCAUGUUUGUGGACUGGCAGCCACCAGAGGGCAGAGAUAAGGGGGCUACAUAUGAAUUCAGAGUGAAGGCUAAGAAUGAAGUUGGACUUGGUGAGAGGGCAUCAGCUGUAAUUAUCACCCCUGAUGGAGGAAUAAUCUCUGGAGCAGUGUUACAGCUAAGGGAUGACUUCUGUCUGUCCUGCUCCUUCCAGGAGAUACUGUAAAUUGCCAUGUUAAUGGGAGCUGUCCCGGGAUCACUUAUUGGAGGUAAGAAUAGAUCGUCAGUGCCAUGUUAAUGGGAGCAGUCACAGGAUCACUUAUUGGAGGUAACGUAGUCAGUCCCAUGUUAAUGGGAGCUACCACAGAUCACUUUGGAGGUAAGGAACAUUAUCAGUGCAAUGUUAAUUGGAGCUGUCACGGGAUCACUUAUUGGAGGUAAGGUCAUCAGUGCCAUGUUAAUGGGAGCUAUAGCAGGAUCACUUAUUCGAGGUAAAAAUAGAUCAUCAGUGCCAUUUUAAUGGGAGCUAUCUCAGGAUCACUUAUUGGAGGUGAGGUACAUCAUCAGUGCAGUGUUAAUUGAAGCUGUCAUUAGAUUGCUUUUUUGGAGGUAAGGUUGUCAGUGCCAUUUUAAUGGGAGCUAUAGCAGGAUCACUUAUUGGAGGUAAAAACAGAUCAUCAGUGCCAUGUUAAUGGGAGCUGUCACUGGAUCACUUAUAGGAGGUAAGGAAACAUCAUUAGCGCCAUGUUAAUGGGAGCUGUCGUGGGAUCACUUAUAGGAGGUGUUUUAAUUGACAAAUUUGGCAGACGACUGACCAUUACCGUAUAAUCCCUAUUAACCACCCCUGCCCCUAUAAGUGCCCCCUUAGGUCUUUUUCAACUGUCAAGAAAUAACGGCCCCCUGUACAGUGAUUAAAAUC